This 403-nucleotide ribosomal RNA is filed under the name uncultured bacterium. Its description in RNAcentral is "partial 16S ribosomal RNA". It matches the Rfam family "Bacterial small subunit ribosomal RNA", at positions 28 to 526 of the family's 1533-position model. The record is from RNAcentral.
GACGAACGCUGGCGGCGUGCCUAAUACAUGCAAGUCGAACGCAGUGGGGACGGGUGAGUAACACGUGGGUAACCUCCCAUCAGAGGGGAUAACACUUGGAAACAGGUGCUAAACCGAUACUGAUGGAUGAACCCGCGGUGCAUUAGCUAGUUGGUGAGGUAACGGCUCACCAAGGCCACGAUGCAUAGCCGACCUGAGAGGGUGAUCGGCCACACUGGGACUGAGACACGGCCCAGACUCCUACGGGAGGCAGCAGUAGGGAAUAUUGGGCAAUGGACGAAAGCCUGAUCGAGCAAUGCCGCGUGAGUGAAGAAGGUUUUCGGAUUGUAAAGUACUUUCGGCAGGGAAGCGUUAUCUACAGAGAAAGCAACGGCUAACUACGUGCCAGCAGCCGCGGUAAUUC